Molecule: non-coding RNA, 838 nt
Organism: Dipodomys ordii (Ord's kangaroo rat)
Lineage: Eukaryota; Metazoa; Chordata; Mammalia; Rodentia; Heteromyidae
Source: the annotation of a RefSeq genome assembly
AUAGCCCUGCCCACAACCUGCUGAUUUCCAUGUGCCAAGAGCACAGCCCACUACCCUGAACACUUCUUCAUAGGCUGCUCACACUAUGCAGCAGUCAGUCCCAGUCAGCACAAAGCAUGGACAUGAGGACCCCUGCUCAGCUCCUGGGGCUCCUGCUGCUCUGCUUCCCAGGUACCAGAUGUGACAUCCAGAUGACCCAGACUCCAUCCUCCCUGUCUACAUCUCCAGGAGACACAGUCACCAUCAAUUGCAGGGCCAGUCAGGGCAUUAACAGUUGGUUAGCCUGGUAUCAGCAGAAACCAGGGAAAGCUCCCAAACUCCUGAUUUACAAAGCAUCUAAUUUAGAAUCAGGAGUCCCAUCCAGGUUCAGUGGCAGUGGAUCUGGGACAGAUUACUCUCUCACCAUCAGCAGCCUUCAGCCUGAAGAUUUUGCUACAUAUUUCUGUAUGCAGCAUAACAGCUAUCCUAACACAGUGAUACAAGUCAUAGCAAAAACCUCCAAGGGAAGCAGAAGUAAGACACUGGGCUGCCCCAGCUGCUGCCCCUGUAGCCUCCACCUGCUGACAGUGCUUUUCAGAUGCAUUUCUGAGGGUCACAGGAAGAUUUGGUAAAAGUGGCUGGGCAGAAUUCUCUCUAUUCUAGCUCUCUGUUUGCAGCAGCACAAACAUGCUAAUGCUUCUCCUGAUUCAAUAGAGUACAGAAAUGAUCAAGCAUGAGGAGUCUGUGAGAGCAUUAAUUGGGGUUCAUUUGUAAAGUAGAAAGAAGCCAGCUAAUCCAAGUUGAUUAUAUUUAAUACAAGAAAUGUAUUCUUAGCUACUGCCAUUCAAGGAUUGGGUUA